Long non-coding RNA from Carassius gibelio (silver crucian carp), 525 nucleotides. RefSeq lists it as uncharacterized. The transcript has 4 exons. The record is from RefSeq and is a predicted model, not a curated record. Lineage: Eukaryota; Metazoa; Chordata; Actinopteri; Cypriniformes; Cyprinidae.
CCCCUAUAUGUGUAGCUAUUCAGUGUAGUGAUUACCUCUUGGUAACAACAUCAGUCUCCUAUAGAUGACCAAGGAUGAGCUUGUCUACACCUUUGCCCUUACCUACACCCCUGAGCUGUUUGCUGGCACUCGAUUAUCAGCGUUCAAUGCUAUUAUCAAAGGUGACUGGUCCUAUGAGGGGCCUUCAGACUCUUACUUCCUGGGUGACAUUAUUAAUGUUGAGGCAUCUGUGAAGGUAUAAAACCACGUCCUUCUGCGUGUGGUUGUGGACCGCUGUGUGGCUACCAGACUACCUGAUGUGAAUGCCCUUCUGAGAUACUUGUUCAUUGAUCAUGGGUGUGUUCAUGUCACCAGAUGCUGCAGAGGUGGCUUGUUGCUGUGACUCAACCGGUGUUCCUGAUGGAGGAACUGCUGCUUCUUUUUGGAGGCCUUCAGUGGGAAGGAAAGGCCUCGCUCGGUCCUGUAGUGGUUCAAGAGCACAAAAAGACUUUAGCUGGUGUUCUAUAAAUGUGGGGAGAAAACUUU